This 72-nucleotide transfer RNA is filed under the name Salmo salar (Atlantic salmon). It matches the Rfam family "tRNA". From Rfam's summary of the family: Transfer RNA (tRNA) molecules are approximately 80 nucleotides in length. Their secondary structure includes four short double-helical elements and three loops (D, anti-codon, and T loops). The record is from Rfam by way of RNAcentral. Lineage: Eukaryota; Metazoa; Chordata; Actinopteri; Salmoniformes; Salmonidae.
CUCCCUGUGGCUCAGUUGGUAGAGAAUGGUGUUUGCAACGCCAGGGUUGUGGUUUCAAUUCCCACAGGGGGC